GUCCACGCCGUAAACGAUGGAUACUAGCUGUUGGAGGCAACUUCAGUGGCUAAGCGAAAGUGAUAAGUAUCCCACCUGGGGAGUACGGGCGCAAGCCUGAAACUCAAAGGAAUUGACGGGGGCCCGCACAAGCGGUGGAGCAUGUGGUUUAAUUCGAUGAUACGCGAGGAACCUUACCAAGGCUUAAAUGUAGUUUGCUCGGACUGGAAACAGUUUUUUCGCAAGACAAAUUACAAGGUGCUGCAUGGUUGUCGU
Molecule: ribosomal RNA, 255 nt
Filed under: uncultured bacterium
Lineage: Bacteria
Description: partial 16S ribosomal RNA
Rfam family: Bacterial small subunit ribosomal RNA
Source: RNAcentral